This 876-nucleotide long non-coding RNA is filed under the name Marmota monax (woodchuck). The record is from RNAcentral. Lineage: Eukaryota; Metazoa; Chordata; Mammalia; Rodentia; Sciuridae.
CUGAGGAUGGCCGCAGGAGUGACUGGCGGGAAUGCAGCCCAGAAAGCUGCUGGCAGCGCCUGGAGCUACCGGCAGGGAUGGAGCCGUGUGUCGGCUCCUUGGGUGGCCGGUAGACGGCCCGGGUUGGCGGGAAGGGGACCGGAGUGGUUGGGGGAGCUGGGAGCGCAGAGCCUUUGGAAAUCCUUUGUCCCUAGCCCGCCCCAAGAAGUUCCUUCCCUCUUCCGGAUCCUACACCCGCAGACCUCGCCAGCCCUCCCUGAUAUCUGCGCUGUGCAGCUGUUUUGGGGACUGGGUGUGAAGCGCACCAGAAGAUACGAAGGGCUGGGAGCGCGCACCUGCCUAGGCGCGAAGAGACCAGAGUGGAGUAUGGAGGAGCCCGAGGACCUCAUGCGAUUCCGCCUACCCGCCCGGCGCCUCCCAGCGCCCAAAUCGGGGAUGGGUUGGGGACAGAGGGAGGCAGGCAGGGGCGACCGAGAUCGUUCCCCCUUUUUUUUCCUGCUUUUUCUUUGUUUCAAGCACAGCCCCUUUUAACUGGCUGGGCACUUCUUGCAGAGGGAUGUGUCUCCUUAAAAUGGCGACAGGAAAUCCCACCUGCGCGUCAGCCAAUUAGACUGUCGUUCAAGCGCGAAUUUGCAGGGAGGAAAUUUGAGCUUUUUAUUGACAGAGAUGGUUUAGUCUUCGUGUUCCAUCAAAACAGGAAAGGGAAGGUGAAUCAUAAUUCAGAAAUUAAUCUACCUGGAGUCGUUCAUGGGGGCAGACUGAGUAGUCACUGUGUGGUAGGGGCUGUAGCUUUUUAAUCCCCGGUGGAAAAGUGAGAUGACACCCAGAUUUUAAGUUUCUCAUUAUUGAUUAAAAUUCUCAUUCUCUUCGAUGGCA